GUCUACGGCCAUACCACCCUGAAUGCACCCAAACCCAUCUGAUCUCGGAAGCUAAGCAGGGUCGGGCCUGGUUAGUACUUGGAUGGGAGAAUCCUGAUAUUAAAACAAGAAAGUAGAGU
This is a ribosomal RNA of Gorilla gorilla gorilla (western lowland gorilla), 119 nucleotides long. Lineage: Eukaryota; Metazoa; Chordata; Mammalia; Primates; Hominidae. The record is from Ensembl.